CUCGAUUUCUCCCCACAGACGUACCGGCUAGUAGGUCAGCUGGUCAUUGUGAACGGUCCUGGGACUAGGCUGGGGUUAAAUCGCUGGGUUACUGGGCAGUGCGGCUCAUUGAGCCAGAAGACCCUGAUCCACACUGUAUCGAAAUGAAUAAACAACAUUCCUGAUUGGCAAGGGGGGGGGGCGUUAAGGGUUACAGGGGGAAAGCAGGACAAUGUGGUGAAGAAAAAUCAACCAUGACGGGCUGGGAGUCUGCUAUUCCUCCGCUCCCGGGUUGAGUUGUCGCCAGUGCUCGCCGUGACAGAGUCUGCUGUUCUUCCGCACCAGGAUUCAGUCGUUACCAGUGCUCAGUGACAGAGACUGCCGAUCCUCCACUCCUGGCUUCGGUCGUUGCUAUAGACUGAGGGAUCCACGGAGUCUAAGUUGGGAACCCCUACUCUUGUGGUUAUGCGAAGUAUAAUUCCCGAAGCUUUGUCCUACACUAGAUGCUGCCUGACCUGCUGAGUUCCUCCAGCAUUCUGUGUGUGUGUUGCUCUGGAUUUCUCGAGUUCAGUUCGGCCAGUGACAUAGCAGAUCGUGUGAAGCUAUAACAACACCAGCGACCAGGGUUCAAGGAGUUUGUGUGUUCUACCCUUGACUGCGUGGGUUUCCUCCGGGUGCUCUGGUUUCCUCCCACACUCCAGAGCUGAGUUAGUGAGUUGUGGGCAUGCAAUGUUGGUGCUGGAAGUGUAGCGACACUUGCAGGCACAUCAUUGACUGUGCUGGUUGUUGACAUAAACGACACAUUUCACGGUAUGCUUCGAAGUAUAUGUGGUAAAUAAAGCUAGUCCAAUCUAGAUCCCAUCAAUGGUAAACCUCUCCAUCCCAGAGAGGUGCCAUCAUUGGGGAGAAGGGGCGUGAAGCCAUGGAUGAGGAUCAGGAAAGAUCUGAUUAUAACCAGGAAACUCCAUGUUCCCAUCUAUUGCCCAGUAACCCUCUCCUUCCCCCUCACAUCUCCUCUGUUUAUCCACAUCCACCUCAGAUUCAGACUCCCCUUCCACCACCUUUUGAGGAAGACUCAGCCCCCUUGGAGAGGAAAACAUACCAGCUGCUGAAGCUCCAGGUAAAGACACUGGAGCCUCUGUCCUCCUACCAAUGCAGGAUUUGUGGCCUUUUGUAUCUUGGCAUGCAGCUGAUGCACUCACGUAAAUGCCUUUCACAUGGUAGUUUUAGUGGUCUCACCAUUUUUGUUGUCUGCUUCCUUUGAUAUUUUGUGUUCAUUACAACAAAGCUCUCAAGGCCUGCUUGCACGUGUGAGGCCUUCUGAGGGAGGCCAUCAAAGAUGCAGCUGCAGGCCCAGGCCUGGAUCUGAAGGCCCUGCCCUUAGUUUAC
Mobula hypostoma (lesser devil ray) is the source of this 1368-nucleotide long non-coding RNA. RefSeq lists it as uncharacterized. NCBI's taxonomy places the organism in Eukaryota, Metazoa, Chordata, Chondrichthyes, Myliobatiformes, Myliobatidae. The transcript has 3 exons. The record is from RefSeq and is a predicted model, not a curated record.